Molecule: ribosomal RNA, 253 nt
Filed under: uncultured bacterium
Lineage: Bacteria
Description: partial 16S ribosomal RNA
Rfam family: Bacterial small subunit ribosomal RNA
Source: RNAcentral
UACAGAGGGUGCAAGCGUUAAUCGGAAUUACUGGGCGUAAAGCGUGCGUAGACGGUUGCGUAAGUCAGAUGUGAAAGCCCCGGGCUCAACCUGGGAAUUGCAUUUGAGACUGCGUAGCUAGGGUGCGGAAGAGGGAAGCGGAAUUUCCGGUGUAGCGGUGAAAUGCUUAGAUAUCAGGAGGAACACCAGUGGCGAAGGCGGUGUUCUGGGCCAGUACUGACGCUGAGGCGCGAAAGCGUGGGGAGCGAACAGG